Molecule: ribosomal RNA, 390 nt
Filed under: uncultured bacterium
Lineage: Bacteria
Description: bacterial SSU rRNA
Rfam family: Bacterial small subunit ribosomal RNA
Source: RNAcentral
AGUGAAUAGAUACCCUGGUAGUCCACGCCCUAAACGAUGUCAACUAGGUGUUGGGUGGGUAAAACCAUUUAGUACCGUAGCUAAACGCGUGAAAGUUGACCGCCUGGGGAGUACGGCCGCAAGGUUAAAACUCAAAGGAAUUGACGGGGACCCGCACAAGCGGUGGAUGAUGUGGAUUAAUUCGAUGCAACGCGAAAAACCUUACCUACCCUUGACAUGCCAGGAACUUGCCAGAGAUGGCUUGGUGCCCGAAGGGGAGCCUGGACACAGGUGCUGCAUGGCUGUCGUCAGCUCGUGUCGUGAGAUGUUGGGUUAAGUCCCGCAACGAGCGCAACCCUUGUCGUUAAUUGCCAUCAUUUGGUUGGGCACUUUAACGAGACUGCCGGUGAC